Molecule: transfer RNA, 74 nt
Filed under: Actinomycetota bacterium
Lineage: Bacteria; Bacillati; Actinomycetota
Description: tRNA-Trp
Rfam family: tRNA
About the family: Transfer RNA (tRNA) molecules are approximately 80 nucleotides in length.
Source: RNAcentral
AGGGGCGUAGCUCAACCUGGUAGAGCACCGGUCUCCAAAACCGGUGGUUGGGGGUUCGAGUCCCUCCGCCCCUG